UUUGAGCCUUUCAAAACCUCAACAGAAAAACUCUUAAAACAUGAAAACCAUCUUCGUUUCCCUUUUGCUCGCUGGUAUGUUCAUGCUUCCUGCCAGGGCACAACCAUUGAUGGAAAAUGUCGAAUCUGGAAGUGACGUUCUUCGGUAUAGUCGCUGCACAACAAUUUGCCCAGCGAUUUGGCAGCCCGUUUGCGCCUCUAAUAACAGUUGCAUCAGGAGAUUUAGCAACACCUGUGUGCUGAAUCAAGAAAACUGCAGAUCAGCUCCUAUACAACGGUACAACGUUAUCCCCGACCAUUACUGUCAAAACGCAAAGCCAUGCCAAUGAAUAACGAACGAUUUAAAUUUGGACUUGGAUUUGUAUACAACUUGAAAUGAGUUAUAAAUAAAAUUUUAUAUGAAAUUUGA
This is a long non-coding RNA of Eupeodes corollae, 408 nucleotides long. RefSeq lists it as uncharacterized. The transcript has 2 exons. The record is from RefSeq and is a predicted model, not a curated record. NCBI's taxonomy places the organism in Eukaryota, Metazoa, Arthropoda, Insecta, Diptera, Syrphidae.